Molecule: non-coding RNA, 6947 nt
Organism: Coturnix japonica (Japanese quail)
Lineage: Eukaryota; Metazoa; Chordata; Aves; Galliformes; Phasianidae
Source: RefSeq, a predicted model, not a curated record
AAAAGCGCUUGGAGCAGAGAAAGCUGGAAAACAACUGCUGUGUCUGCAAGUUGUGCUGGUGAAUGGAGAGUGGAAUGGAAAGUAACCCAAAGUGCUCCGUGGCGUGGUCAGCUGCCAGGCUGGGAGAGAGUGAGGUGCAGGGACUGAGAAUUCAGGGUUCAUAGAGGCUUCAUAUGUGGUUGUCUUGAGCAGAGCCUCUCGCCUGGCUCUACUGUGUCAGAGCAGUGACACUGCUGUCCUAGCACCUGUGUACCUGCUGGUGAUCAUCCGCUGGAACUGCCUUACUGCAGAGGAGCCUGAAGGACCUACUGUAUGGAAAGUUUUCAUCUGUUUCAUUAGAGAUGUGCUUGAGCCCUCAAAACACCAACUAGCCUGUCUUCUGAUGAGAUGCUUCAGUCCAGUGGAACAAAAGAGGGAGUGCAGAAAAUAAAUGGACUGAAAGGUUAAAAGAGGGUAAUCGUCAAAAGAAACAAGCAAAAAGUGUGUGACUUCUAUCAGGGAACUCGGAGCCCAUUUCAAGUUAUUGCACGCUGCAGAGAAAGAAAAUCUUGGCUUCUGACUCAUAAUCGCGUGGACCAACUGCAACCACAGGCUGUGCUGGUGCUCCUAAAACCAGACCGAGUUUUGUGCCAUGCUGCUGCAUCCCCUCCCACACCUGCCACCCCCUGGGAAGCACCGAAACAGGAAGCAGGAAGCACCGUAAAUCUUGUGAAGGAGCCUUCUGGCAAGAUUCCUAGCCCGGCUCUGAGCACUGAGUUUUGGAUCAUUUGGAUAAACUUCAUGGUGAGGAAUGGCCAGUGCCUGGAUAUCCUAAUGUUGGGAAGAGCAAGACGCAGAGCUUGGUGAGUCCCACUUGGCAGCAGCGACUUGUGAGAGAGCAGCAGCCCUUGGGGGAGAAGUGUGGUCCUGUUUACUUACAGCUGUAACUUCAUCACUGAAGACAAUUUUAAGCUUCCUAGGAAAGUUAAUUGAAAGAUUCAAAGCACUGGAAUUGAUGUCAAGCUGAGGAAGAACCUCCUUGGGUGGGUAGAACAAAGUCACAGUGCCCAUGGGAAGGCAGUGCCGCAUGAUGAAGAGCUGUGCCAAGGGCUGGAGAAAACCUGAGUCCUGCUGCAUCCCGAAGGAAGCAGAGAUGAUCGGUUUGUGUGACUUCAAGCAUAAGGUGGUGCACACCUUCAUUGCCGUGCUUCCCAUCCAGACCAGCUUUUCUCUACACUUUUGCUUCCCAAUCUCAUCUGAAAGUCCAUAUUUCUGCACUUCCUUAUUCAUUAUUCAUCCUGUGUUGGUGGGUGACUCUGAAGGAAUCUUCUGAGUGACUGAAUCGCGACGUCUGGAUUAUUCAAGCAAAUUCUGGGGCAGUCUUCUGACUUCUAAAUGCUUCCUGGAAUGACUUAGUGAAAAAUGAGCAGCCAAGCAGCAAUCAGGCAAGCAAAGCAGAUUUCAGAACUGGAGGAACAUUAAGGUACUAAAAUAGGUCCGAGUCCUGAAACCCUACCCUGGCCUGGGAAAAAAAAACACCUCCAUUGUCUUCAGUGGGAGCUGCCUGGCGUGACAUUACCGCAGUGCCACUCCGUUAGGACUGAUCCAGGUGUGCAGUACAACCAGCACACAGCCCUGCUGAGAGCCCACCACGUACUUCUCUGCCUUGCUUCACCGCUUUGGUCCAAGCUCCUGAGCCAAUGUCUCUGCCCCACAUUCAGCUCCAAGCAUUCUGAAGAGGCAGUAAGAAACCAGCUUGAUGGUUUGUGGAUCAUAAAGGAAUAAGGAUAAAAAAAAAAAAUAAAGAGGGAAGAAUUCACAUCCCGGCAUCAGUCAGAAAUACCUGAAAGCACCUGGCAACUGUGCUGCGAAGGGAUGCUCUACCCCAGGGCCACAAAACCUUCAGCUUUCCACUGUGAUCACUUUAUGAAGCCCAUCACAGCCACGAAGCCCACUUUCCCUCCUGAGGCCUCACUGUGGGCACAGAGUCACCCCACCAUCACCAUCGCUCCCUGGACUGCUGCCAUAAAGCUGCCCUACUGAAGCUGAUGUGAGUUUGGAAAACAGCAGCAGAUUCGUUCUUUGAAGACCAAAUGUAAUUCCCUGUCACCAUCACGAGACUAACACAAUGUGAGACUUCUCUGAGGACUUUGUGUUGGAAUAGUGGGACUCUAUCAGCAUGAAGGGAAUAUCAACAAAGAGAGUCUGAGUGUCCAUGAAAUUAAUCUGGGCCUCAGGAGAGCAGUCUGGAGCUGUGUCUGGAGCUUCCUGCGUGGCCAUUGUAAGCUCCAGAGAUGUCCUUUGAUAUGACAUAUCCCAUCGGUAGCUCUUGCAUACCUUGCAUACAGAGAGGAAUAAGACCUGGGAUUACGCAUCUGAUGCUAUAAGCUGCAGCAUGACCUGAAAGGGUUGAUCUAUUGCCCACCAAAGAUCACCUUCUGCUCACUAGGACAUCGCUGGGACCUCACAGCAUCCUCAUACAAUGAGAACCUUUUGCUGGAUCUCCACCUGGGAGAAAGGUUUAGAUGUACCUGAAAUUUAUGAUUUUGAGGGUGUCCCCAAGGAGAUAUUAAAGGAAAACUACAGCUGAAGCCCUAUGGAAAGGCAGUAUAAAAGGAACAGGAAUAAAUACUACCAGUGAUUUGACACACUAGGAUUACUUGGCUUGGAAACAUGGUGUAAGGGGAGAAGCAAAGCUGGCGGUCAUACAACAAGGGACCCAUACUGCUCUCCAGCUCUGACCUGACAACUGUGUGGCUGAAGCCUGAAGCUUCAAAUCAGAAGCAUCCAUCUCAAUCAGUGGAGAGAUGCCUCCCCACAGUGAGCAACUUGAACUAGAGAUUGAUAUUGCAGUGACUAGGAUGAGUGGAGAGAGGUACUGCCAUCAGCGCUGCUACACAAGCUUUUGCUGAUUGAGAAGCUCAUGAGAUACAUCUCAUUUCCCUGGAGAACCUCAAGGAAGCAGCGGUCAGACAAUCCUUUCCUAGCCUGCCUUGGGCAAUGCUGGUGGUACAGCACUGCUGGUACUGCAUGUGGGCUGCAGUGCUGCUACUGGGCUCCUUGGGCAGAGCAUGAUUCAGCCUUCAGUGUUACAGAAGUCCUUAUUCCAAAGGAACCCACAAUUUGGGACAGAACAGGGAUGGUCACAGAUACUGAAUCCAUGCAUUCCAGGAAAGAGGUGGCCACACACAUCGAGCUGAGUUUCCUCCUGGUGAAGCCCUCAUAAGCACUUGGUCAUCCCCAGAGAUGGCAGAGAACACUGGGUUCUGGAGCCUGUCUGCUGUUUGAACACAGCCCUUGGUGAUAGGGAAGAGUAGAGUGGCACCAUUCCUGGAAAGGCAACAGGAGAUGGAAGAUUUCUGUGAAUUCAAGGCUGUUUUCAGGCAGCCCAAACUCUACCCAUGUUCUCGUGCCUAAUUUUAUCCACAACAUACUCUGGACCUUCAGGGUUGCCAAACUAAUAGGAAACCAAAGCUGAACUAGGUGAAUUAGAUGGAAUACAGCUGUUGCAGGGCACUUGAGUUGCGUCCUCUGUAAUCACGGAACUUCCUAGCAAAGCUAUGUGAGUAAUGGACUAUUUUUGUUUUCUGACAAUUCUAAAAACAUUCAGCAAAAAUAUUUGUAAAGGUUGUUUGAGUGUAUCCAAAACAGUCCUUAGGAGGUGUGUGAACUGAAAAGCUGUCUGGUCUGCCUUGCUUCUUUGGUCACACGAAAAAUUUUACCUCCUUUUUAUUUUUGCAUGUAAUUGUUUGCCUUAAUUUAAUAUUUCUUUAACCUUUAAGUAAAAAUCUUAUAGAAUUUGAAAUAACUUUAAAGUGGUUAAUGUAAAAAAUACAUAUAUAUUGGUCACCAGCUGUUAUUACAAGCCUUCCGUAUUACUGCAUGACCAGAGGAGGCCUUAGGCAGCCAAACAGGGGCUGUAUGGGUCCUAAAUGCCCCUCCAAGUCUUGUAAAAGCAAGCCAUGCUCUUGCCCUCUCAUCUCUAAUGCUACAUGCAGAACAAAACAUGCUACUAUCUGGUCUGCUAACCAUAGGUGCAAACCACUGCAGAUCUUGAGGGUGUUUCGAUGUAACUCCAUUAAAAAUGAACAACUGAUUCGACAAAAAGAAAGUCAGAAUCUACAGCACAAAACCUCAUGACAUAAAACUUACCCCAUCCCCUUCUCUUUCCUGUGGGUAUCAGCAUGUAUUGCUUUGAAUCCGUGACUAUUGCAACUGUUAGGAGUGGCGGAAUACUUUUACACAUCUAUUUAUUUAUCUUUAAGCCCUGCACAUAGUUGGCUGUGGGCUUGUGAAAAAGAGUUAUCAAAGCCUUGGCGUGGUGUUGUUUUGUUCUGCUUUUCAAUGCAAUUUUAUCCGUUCCUGCAGCUGGCUGUUCCUCUUUUUAACAGCCAGGCUCUUCAAACCAAGUGCUUAGAAUAGCUUUUAAGUUGCCAGGCUGGUUAGAGAUGAUUGUGUCUGGCAGAAUGUCUUUAUGGUGCUGGUGGUAAGGAAAAAGCAGGCGUAGUGCUAUUGACCGCUGCUGGAAAUCUGAAACCUGGCUGGUGCCUCGUCCCAUCCAUGAUGUGAGUGAAGGCAGAUCUGCUCGAUAUCAUUUUAAAUUAUUUUCCCCUAGAAGUCAGGGGUAUCUAAAACAAACUAGGAGAAUUUAAGACAGAUGAGCUCUGGAGUUGUGUGUUGUCUCAAGAGUAUCAGGGACUUAAAGCACCUCUGGCCUGUUGUAGCACCAGCUGGUGAGAUGUCUGCCUGUAGCUGCCAAGAAAGGGCAGUAAAAAGGUGAAGAAAGAGAGAAUAGAGCAUUGUUUAGAUAUACUGGAAGAUGAUGCAGAGCUGGGAGGGCUUGUUGUCAUCAGGAGCAGAUAAGAUGUUCCACGUGCUAUCACUUGGAUGCAAGUGGCAGUAAACCAGAGCCACCAGAGAACCACGUUCAUAGCAAUAAUUUGGUGGAGCAUCCAGGUUCAGCACAGAUAACCUCUGCCUUGCUCAUCUGACACCCUUAAACUAUUGAAGUGGCUCCUUCAUUCCAAAACUACCCAUUUCACCCACCGUUCUGACUCCACACAAUGAAUCAGCCAGAUAGAAGGGCAAUAUUCUGAGAGCACUUACAUUUAAUGCUAAGAUAUUAGGAUGAGGUGUUUGCAACCAUUUUCUGUUUACCCAUUUCUUACCACAAUGAAUAAAGAAUUCAGGAUCUCAAAAUACUUGGCGAACUGGGUACUUAAGCAUCUUCUGACAUAUUCUAACCCAAACCUAUCGAAAAUUUGUCUUUGAUCUUUACUCUCUGGGGUCUUUAGUGUUUGUGUAUAAACAAAUCCAGAUCUUGAAGUGAAAAGUUGGUUAUACAAAAAAUAAAAUAAUAAAAAUUGCCCCAAACCUGAAAAUGUUUCUGCAACUUUGAGAUAUUUGGUUUUUUUUCCUGAUUUUUUUAUUUUUUAGCAAGUGAAUAAAUUGCCAAUUUAACACAUCUCUGUGAAGAGUUUCAAAGUUGGUUUUUCCCAGUGGAAAAAAUAAAGGAGCACAGUUUUCAUCUCAUUCUAUUUGACCCAGCAAACCGAGCUGGGCUCCAGGAGUGACACACAUCUGAAAUGAGCUGUGAGGUGCACCCGUGCUCUCUCUAUCAUUCAGGAAGCCCACUGCCGGGGCACAGCUGUGGGGCAGGAGCUCAUGCCCUUGCCCAACUGAUGAAGUGAAGGGACCGUGUGCUGCUGGCUCUGAAGUGAAAACAAUCACUCUGAAAUCUCAGAGCUUCCUCAGAAAUGUAAAAAAAUGGGGUGGGAGCACAAGUUAAUUGUGCUUUUACACACUGUUAUACUUGUCACUGUGCCAGACUCUACAUUUCUUCCAAGGGUGAAAUGAAAACUCCAAAUUCAUGUGGUUAUGAAACAAUUUCAGUAUGAGCACUCAGUGAAGAAUUAUAAAGUGGGAAAGACACAGUCCUGUGUCUCAGCUGGUUGAGAAGGCUCUGAAUUGAUCAAGGCUUCUUCCAUCUUUAAGGAGUUUUCUGGAGUGUAUUGAAACCAUUCUGCAUCUGCAUAUUGAAUGCGUAUACUGCACUGCAGAAAAGCCGAUGUGUUAUGACAUUACUUUGAGUGGGAGAUGAGGCAACUGGCAGAAGGCAUCACUGUUGUUCCAAGAAAUCUCAUUUCUCUGCAUCUAGAAUUUAGGAAAUGAGUCUGAUUUGCCUGGUUUACACCAGAACAGACUCCUGCAUUGCAAAUAUAGCAAUAACUCACUGGCACUACUCCUGGAGAUGAGAUGGUGGUGGGAGAUCUGGAUGAGCAAGGACUUAACACCUUUUUCUCUGCCUACAGUAAUGCAGCUGAGAUAUAUGAAGGUAUUUGUUGGUUUAGCUGGAGUCAGCCCUACUCUCAAUUAGUCGUGAGACUAAUGAAGUGCAGUGCCAAUUUAAAAUCAGGUUAACCCUUGUGCUUCCAUCCUCUGUGCUUCGUUGACGCUGGAAGUAUAAGGUCAAUCCUGAUUAGCAUCACCAUGAAAGGAGAACUAGUCCAAACUAACAGUCACAUUGGAUAAGUAGUAUUUUGCUUAUUUUUGUUAUUAGAGAUGAGUCAAAGGGUCAAAAUACCCCAAGGCUAAAUCAAAACUGGAACCAAUCCACAUGAAAAAACUUGAGUGUGCCUGAAGUUGGCACAUACUGAACUAGUCUUGUAUAAAUUCAUACCCUUCAAGAUACUUGGUAGUCUCACUCCCACUUGGGUGCUCAGCUCCAAUUGAUAAUGCCAUGUGCUAAUUCAGGCACCCAGGCUUCCAUGUGAUGUUCUUACUGUGAAGAACAGUUGGUCUUGAGGGAAAACAUUUACAUAGAUGACACUAUUUUCAUCUGAAUGAAAAGUAAUGGGUGAAAAAGGAAGUUUUGACACUGUGUAAGGUGUAGGGUUUACACACAGUAGUUUUUGUUGCAUGUAUAUAAACGGGUGAUUUACCAUAUUUAAAUAAAAUAAAUUCACACA